AAGAGUUGGACACGACUGAGCAACAGAACUGAACUGAACUGAUCCAGGUUAAAAAAAUUUCCAAUGGGUUUAUAACUGAUUCUAAACCAUUAUAACAAGUAUAAGGAGCAUACAUGUCCACAUUUUGUCUGCAAAUUUCCCUCCACCACAUUCAGAGUGCACUUGUAGAAACUUACUGAUGCUAAUUCUGAUUCCUCUUUUUAUCAAUAGGUACCAGCACCUGCUAUACACACAGAGCAAUAAAAUGGUGUGUAUGAUGAUUAUAAAAGGUGGUCCAUGUAUAACGCUUGUUUUCCUCUUUUUGACUUACUUCACUCUGUAUAACUGACUCUAAGUUCAUCCACCUCACUACAACUGACUUAGAUCCAUUCCUUUUUACAACUGAGUAAUACUCCAUUAUAUAAGUGAACCACAACAACUUCUUUAUACAUUCAUCUGUCAAUGGAUAUCUGGAAUCUAGAAAUAUGGUACUGAUGAACCUAACAGAGAAUGGACCUGUGGACAAAGCAGGAGAAGAUGGGAAAGCCAUUGAUGUCAGAGACUGUAUCUUACUCAUCUCUUGUUCCCUGGCACCUAGCCAAGUGCUCAGAACAUAAAUAUUUGGUGCUUGGGCUGAAAAGAAGGAAGACAAAAGAGACAGAAAUACGGAAAGAAGGGAGUUGCCUUCUCUGAAGCUGUGGACCAUCAUCCAUUUCCCUACCAGACUGAGAGCACAGGUGGCUGCUUCCAGCCAGGUAGGAACCAGCACAUCAGUUAAUACUCUGAAGAUGGCUGCAGCAUGAGAUUUUAUUUAGCCACCAUCUUUCUUCAUUAUAUCUUGCUAUUUCUCUCCACUCCUGUCCCACAGCUUCUACAGGUGCAAUUGAGAUUUGAAGUAAAAUACACAGUUUAUUUAUUCCUGUCAACAUCAUCUUUCUCAUACAGAUAAAGCAUCUUCAUUUCUAGAAUAUUGUUUUGAGACUUACUCAUAUUUAUGAGAUCACUCAGACUUGUGUCAUCUGCAGAUCUUAACCUAAACAAAGACAUUCUCUUCCAAAGGAAGAUUUACAAGAAGUCUGCCUAGAGGAAGUGAGAUGCUCCAGAUGACCCCUGAAAAUCCCUGCCAGGUUGUGUUUUGAAUUUCCCAUAACAUUUCAUUACGUAAAACAGACCCAUUAGCUGUGUUUACUCAGGCACAUGGAACAAAAUUGAGACA
Molecule: long non-coding RNA, 1195 nt
Organism: Cervus elaphus (red deer)
Lineage: Eukaryota; Metazoa; Chordata; Mammalia; Artiodactyla; Cervidae
Exons: 3
Source: RefSeq, a predicted model, not a curated record